GACGAACGCUGGCGGCGUGCCUAACACAUGCAAGUCGAGCGAGUGAAUCUCCUUCGGGAGUGAAGCUAGCGGCGGACGGGUGAGUAACACGCGGGCAACCCGCCUCAUAGAGGGGAAUAGCCUUUCGAAAGGAAGAUUAAUACCGCAUAAGAUUGUAGCUUCGCAUGAAGUAGCAAUUAAAGGAGCAAUCCGCUAUGAGAUGGGCCCGCGGCGCAUUAGCUAGUUGGUGAGGUAACGGCGCACCAAGGCGACGAUGCGUAGCCGACCUGAGAGGGUGAUCGGCCACAUUGGGACUGAUACACGGCCCAGGCUCCUACGGGAGGCAGCAGUGGGGAAUAUUGCACAAUGGGGGAAACCCUGAUGCAGCAACGCCGCGUGAGUGAUGACGGCCUUCGGGUUGUAAAGCUCUGUCUUCAGAGACGAUAAUGACGGUACCUGAGGAGGAAGCCACGGCUAACUACGUGCCAGCCGCCGCGGUAA
This 480-nucleotide ribosomal RNA is filed under the name uncultured bacterium. RNAcentral's name for it is "partial 16S ribosomal RNA". It matches the Rfam family "Bacterial small subunit ribosomal RNA", at positions 28 to 523 of the family's 1533-position model. The record is from RNAcentral.